This 474-nucleotide ribosomal RNA is filed under the name uncultured bacterium. RNAcentral describes it as "bacterial SSU rRNA". It matches the Rfam family "Bacterial small subunit ribosomal RNA", at positions 39 to 507 of the family's 1533-position model. The record is from RNAcentral.
GCGGCAGGCCGUAAUACAUGCAAGUCAGGGGGUAACGAUGACGCUUCGGUGUUGAUGAGACCCGGCGCACGGGNGCGUAACGCGUAUGCAAUCUACCUACAGCAGAGGGAUAGCCCGUGGAAACAUGGAUUAAUACCUCAUAAUACAGGGGGCCCACCUGGGCAUAUUGUUAAAGAGUUUAUCGGCUGUAGAUGAGCAUGCGUCCCAUUAGCUAGUUGGUACGGUAACGGCGUACCAAGGCGAUGAUGGGUAGGGGUUCUGAGAGGAUGAUCCCCACACUGGUACUGAGAUACGGACCAGACUCCUACGGGAGGCAGCAGUAGGGAAUAUUGGUCAAUGGACGGAAGUCUGAACCAGCCAUGCCGCGUGCAGGAAGACGGCCUUCUGGGUUGUAAACUGCUUUUAUCAGGGAAGAAAAUACUCUUGCGAGAGGGAUUGCCGGUACCUGAAGAAUAAGCACCGGCUAACUCCGUG